Long non-coding RNA from Heterocephalus glaber (naked mole-rat), 499 nucleotides. Lineage: Eukaryota; Metazoa; Chordata; Mammalia; Rodentia; Bathyergidae. The record is from Ensembl.
GUUUUUGUGAAAUGAAGGGGAAACUUCCAGUUCUCACAUUUCAAUACCUCCUGUUAUGCUGUAAUAAAACAGAGGAAGACAUACAAGAAUGGAUGAUCAGACACUCCUAGAACUGUGGUUCCUGGAUGAGUGACAUAAAGUUGCAAGUUGAAACUGAUCAGAUGCAUCUCCAGCAAAUCAAGACAGGAUAGUGGAAAUAAAGUCGCUUGUUGUUUGAGUAAAGAAGUAAAAUUCAUGUUUGUGGUUGACAGCCUACAAAGUGACUUCAAAUAAUCCCUCCCCCCAGUCUGAGACAAACCAGUUUGCCAUGUGAUGAGCUGCACUGCUGAGUAAUUCCAAUAGCGAGAAAAAUGGAAAACUCCAGAAAAUAUCUAGCAAGAAAGGAGAGCCCUCACGACAUCAGUUCACAAGUUUCUGAAUCACACCAACAACAGCGUGACACCAUGUGGAGACAGAUGCAUCCUAACCCAGCCUCCAGAAUGGUCUAUGUCCUACACAG